This 76-nucleotide transfer RNA is filed under the name Firmicutes bacterium HGW-Firmicutes-8. Its description in RNAcentral is "tRNA-Gln". It matches the Rfam family "tRNA". Rfam says of the family: Transfer RNA (tRNA) molecules are approximately 80 nucleotides in length. Their secondary structure includes four short double-helical elements and three loops (D, anti-codon, and T loops). Further hydrogen bonds mediate the characteristic L-shaped molecular structure. tRNAs have two regions of fundamental functional importance: the anti-codon, which is responsible for specific mRNA codon recognition, and the 3' end, to which the tRNAs corresponding amino acid is attached (by aminoacyl-tRNA synthetases). tRNAs cope with the degeneracy of the genetic code in two manners: having more than one tRNA (with a specific anti-codon) for a particular amino acid; and 'wobble' base-pairing, i.e. permitting non-standard base-pairing at the 3rd anti-codon position. Lineage: Bacteria; Bacillati; Bacillota. The record is from RNAcentral.
UGGGGCGUCGCCAAGUUGGUAAGGCAACGGACUUUGACUCCGUCAUGCGUUGGUUCGAGUCCAGCCGCCCCAGCCA